Cavia porcellus (domestic guinea pig) is the source of this 1725-nucleotide long non-coding RNA. RefSeq lists it as uncharacterized. NCBI's taxonomy places the organism in Eukaryota, Metazoa, Chordata, Mammalia, Rodentia, Caviidae. The record is from RefSeq and is a predicted model, not a curated record. The transcript is spliced from 2 exons.
CUCUAAACAAGAUGAACCCACGCCCAAACGGCACAGUGUUUCACUCAAUGAUACUGAGCCAUGGAAGCUUAUGGAAGAGUUUAAAAGACUUCAGAGAGAAAUGAGGAAACUGUCAAAAGGAAAAUCUACACCUGAGGGAGGAAGGCUUAAGGCUCUGAAAGGUGGCACAUCCAAGAGAAGCCUGGCUGGGCCUCUGCGUCCUUCAGAGACAAACGUCACCAGUCCUCUCCCCUCACUCCUUGUUGUGAUUGCAACCAUCUUCACUGGGUUCUUUCUAGGGAAGUUCAUCUUGUAGGGUGAAGCAUGAAAGUGCUGUUUCUUUUCUUUUUUUCUCCUGACCAGAAAAAAAGAUUUGUUUACGAACCAUUUCACUGGUGGUAGGACCUGCAGUGACCCUGUGAGUUUGUGUGUGUGUGUCUACAGCAUCAGUACAGGCUUUGCCUCUAAUGAACUCUUAUGGUUAGAAAACACAGUAAAAACUGUUGGCUGCUGGACAGGUUGUCUAUCACCAGGUCUUCACUAGCAGGUGUCAGUGGCACACACCACUCAUAAAAUUCAUAAUAAAGAGUUGUUUUCUUUGUGCUUUUAAUAGUUCAAAGACUUGUUCAGAUUCUUGUAAAUGUUAUUUUAAUAAUCCCUUUAAAUUUUAUCUGUUGCUGUUACCUCUUGAAAUAUGAUUUGUUUAGGUUGCUAAUAUCUCUCAUUCAGGAAAUGCCAAGGGAUGUUCUGUGGGGAAAUGGUGCCUCUUACCAUAAACAUUUUCUCCUUUACCUUUGCUAACCAUGGCAGAAUUUUUUGUACCCUAUGAGGCAACUGUUCACCGCGUUUUUUCAUCCUUACAAUCCUAUCCCAUGGUAUUUAACAUAUAAUAAUAAAACUUUUAACAGAUUGUUGCUCAAUAAAAAUUCAUUAAAAGUGAAGGAUACGUAUCUAGCAAAAGUUCUUUAGAAAAAUCCUUUUAUGGAUUUAUAAAUUCAAGUAGGAUAGACAGGAGAGGAGAGUAAGAGGAAAUAAAAAGAAUUAAGAUGUAUAAUGUACAUGUAUCAACUCCCCACUAUGAAUGCAAUCAUUACAUACAUUGAAUGGGUACCAUAGUAAAAUAAAAAUUUUUAAAGUCAAGGACAUUCUAAAUGGCCUUGAUAUUACUAACUUGUAUUCCUUUUUUUAAAAUGUUGCAUUAGAAGUUUUAGAACAUUUAGAAACUCUAUGGUUUUACAGGUCACAUUUCAGAUAUCACAACAAAAUGAAGCCAUUGCCACAGACAGCACAGAGACCAACCUGGGGCGGGGGUGGCCUGUCUUAGCACAACUCCUGUAGACACUCAUUAUUUCACAUCAGCCUCCUCCUUCCCAAACCCACUCAGGAUAUUCUCUGAAGGAGACUUUUAAAAAUUGCCUUGGGGCAUAUUCUUUACCCCUGCCAUUCUUUGCACUUUGUGGAAAUAGAACAUUCUACAGGCAUCUAUGGUCUCUUUAAAGACCUGAGUCUCCACACUUGCCUACGCCCUGGGUUCCUGCAUUCUGCUCCUGUGAAGAUGGAAGGACGCUUAAGGGUGUGUGGAGGCUUGAAGGAGGCCAGACCUACUACUCCUGAAAUCCGGAUGGCAGAUAAGGGAUCGAACUCACGACUGCCUGCUUGCAAGCCAGGUGCUUAUGCUGCUGAGCUAAAUCCCCAGCCCCUAUUAAUGUAUAUUUUUGAAAGGAAAUAAAUAUGAGUUAUGCCAUA